This is a long non-coding RNA of Nannospalax galili (Upper Galilee mountains blind mole rat), 698 nucleotides long. RefSeq lists it as uncharacterized. NCBI's taxonomy places the organism in Eukaryota, Metazoa, Chordata, Mammalia, Rodentia, Spalacidae. The transcript has 3 exons. The record is from RefSeq and is a predicted model, not a curated record.
GUGUGUGUGUGUGUGUGUGAAGUUGACAUUAUUUAAUGAGACAAUAAAGAAGUGGAAAGGCCUUGUGAAAAGGCAUAGGCUGCUAAGCAUGGCUCAGAGUGAAAAAGCACAGCCAGGCUCAGCUCCCUUCAAGGGAUACGGCUCUGCACUCCAACUCUAGAUGGUAGUUGAGCGAGACCUAAAUCUGGAGCGAGUAGGGGCUGGGUUGGAGUCAGCUUGGAGGAAACAUUAGGUCUGGAGAGAGAAGAAAUGUCUGUGGCCCUGGAGGCUAUGGACAAAAGUGAAGCCUGGACACUUCAAGGCUCCUCUAGGAUAGGAAGGGGGACCUUGGAGCCAAAGUGCAGAAACUCAGUCAUCACAGAACUGGGGUUGUAUACCAUGCUGUGGGGAAGCAGUCUCCUUUGCCUUAUUCGGGGUCACUUUUCUAACCUCCUGACCUCUUAUCUCACCACUUAGACCCAUUAAUGGCCCAUGUAGGGACCACCCUCUGGGCAAUGUUCAUCCCAUGGAGUUGGGACCCACCAUCAAUGGAGAGCUCUGGCCUCUGGAGUCUGAGAACUCUGCUGUAACCUAACAUCCACCCUGAGAUGCUUGUGCCCUGUAGACCUGCCUGGUCCCCGUGGUAGCUAUUCCAGGAACCUGUACCUCAAGGGCAGUGCCAGCAAGACAUCUGAGCUCCUGUACCUCUGGUGGAUUGG